CCCGUUGUUGUCUAACAUGAGGCUCUCCAAACUGGCCAGCUCGCAGAAGCCGCCGGGCAGGGUGCCAAGCUCGGCCCCACUCAGCCAGAGGAUCUUGAGGGCACGCAGAGCACUGAUAUCCUCAGAGAUGUGAUUUCAUCACCAGUCACUCUCAUUGAUGAAUGAACGUGAUGAUUCAUGCCUGAGAGUUCUACCUGUUCUGGUCCUCACAAUCCAUAGUACCACAAAGCUGUACAACUCACUGUUAGUCAUUCAACAGGGACAGCUCUGCCUAUAGUGGACCCGCCCAGCAUCCCAGACUCUCUGGACUCUGCCCACAUUGCAGUCUUGGCCCCUCUAUGCCCUCGGCUUGAGAUUGAGCUUCAGAUUGAGUAUUGACCCCCUACACCCUUUGCGUGAGGAGAACACCAGGAGAGGCUGGAUCAUCCAGAGUUGCCAACAUCGGGGGAAAAAAAAGCAAUGAAAUCUUGAAAUUCGCAGGCAAAUGGAUGGAACUAGAAGAAACCAUCCUGAGUGAGGUGACCCAGUCACAAAAAGACAAACAUGGGAAAGAAAGAUCUGCCAUGGCUGUUACAGUGCCCAUUGCAGAAUGGACCACAGUGUGAAAGGAGCAAAAUGGCUGCCUCAUUCUUGCUAAGAAUUCUUAUAGGGUGCUGAAUCUAAGGCCCCAGACUAGAUGUCAGCUACAAAGAGAAGAACAUGAAUGAUGAAGGCUAAGUACCACCAAACUCAGAGUCUCUGGAUUUUCCCGACCAUCCACAGCCUCCCUUCCCUGAAGGCCUCAGAACUCUAGUUCUGGACCAAUGCCUGGCUGGAGAUGAAGCCUCUCAUCACCCUGUCUGUUUACCACUGCUCUAUGAUCCUUUAAACCCUAGUGGCUCCUUAGAUUUGCCCCGGUCUGGCUUGCAUUUUGCACCAUGGGAAAUCACUUUCUGUGAGCUGUCGUGGACUUUUCCCUGGCUCUGUACCCAGAAGAUUCUUGCUCCUGCUUCUUUGUCUAGUAAAUGCCUGCAUCUGCCGCCUUUAAAGUCUUAGCUAGAAUAUCUCUUCUAGAGUUCCUUUAACACAAAGACAGUUAUAAACCAGCAAGAACUGUGUGCUUCGGAGCCAAACAUUUUAUGUUGAUUUGCAUAUUUCAAGCAUUCCACCAGAAUUUAGUAAAUAAAUGUUUUGAUA
Mesocricetus auratus (golden hamster) is the source of this 1176-nucleotide long non-coding RNA. RefSeq lists it as uncharacterized. The record is from RefSeq and is a predicted model, not a curated record. NCBI's taxonomy places the organism in Eukaryota, Metazoa, Chordata, Mammalia, Rodentia, Cricetidae. The transcript is spliced from 5 exons.